This 492-nucleotide ribosomal RNA is filed under the name uncultured bacterium. Its description in RNAcentral is "partial 16S ribosomal RNA". It matches the Rfam family "Bacterial small subunit ribosomal RNA", at positions 28 to 507 of the family's 1533-position model. The record is from RNAcentral.
GAUGAACGCUAGCUACAGGCUUAACACAUGCAAGUCGAGGGGAAACGGCAUUACGUGCUUGCACUUUUUGGACGUCGACCGGCGCACGGGUGAGUAACGCGUAUCCAACCUUCCCAUGACUAAGGGAUAACCUGCCGAAAGGCAGACUAAUACCUUAUGGUCUUCACUGACGGCAUCAGAUGUGAAGUAAAGAUUUAUCGGUUAUGGAUGGGGAUGCGUCUGAUUAGCUUGUUGGCGGGGUAACGGCCCACCAAGGCAACGAUCAGUAGGGGUUCUGAGAGGAAGGUCCCCCACAUUGGAACUGAGACACGGUCCAAACUCCUACGGGAGGCAGCAGUGAGGAAUAUUGGUGAAUGGGCGAGAGCCUGAACCAGCCAAGCAGCGUGCAGGAGGACGGCCCUAUGGGUUGUAAACUGCUUUUGUAUGGGGAUAAAGUCAAUCACGUGUGAUUGUUUGCAGGUACCAUACGAAUAAGGACCGGCUAAUUCCGUG